GGGCUGGUCGGUGUCGGUCCCAGGGGGGCUCUCGGGGUGAACUCCCGUAUGGUAGCUGGGUUGAUCCUGGACAGUCCUGAUCUUUUUGUGUGUGCUGCCUGAAGUAUACCCGUAGACGUCAGGAGUGCUUCCAGUUCUUGGUAGCUCUGUGCUUUGUGGGGUGUCUCGUUAAGGGUGAGUAGUACUGCCCGUGGGGUCCCCCAACGGUAGGGCAUCUCCCUGUUGCGGAGAUGUUGUAGCAGCGGCUGCAAAGAUUUCCGCCAGGUAAGCGUACUCCUGGUGAUGUCCUGGAAAAAUGUAAGUGUGCUGCCCUCAAACAUAUAUGGGGUUUUGCCCCUCAGUGUAUUUUGAAGUGUCGCUUUGUCCGAUA
This is a non-coding RNA of Pelobates cultripes (western spadefoot toad), 370 nucleotides long. Lineage: Eukaryota; Metazoa; Chordata; Amphibia; Anura; Pelobatidae. The record is from the annotation of a GenBank genome assembly.